AGCGACCCCAGGUCAGGCGAGACUACUCGCUGAGUUUAA
This 39-nucleotide ribosomal RNA is filed under the name Garcinia staudtii. RNAcentral's name for it is "partial 28S ribosomal RNA". Lineage: Eukaryota; Viridiplantae; Streptophyta; Magnoliopsida; Malpighiales; Clusiaceae. The record is from RNAcentral.